Molecule: long non-coding RNA, 1253 nt
Organism: Apis mellifera (honey bee)
Lineage: Eukaryota; Metazoa; Arthropoda; Insecta; Hymenoptera; Apidae
Exons: 3
Source: RefSeq, a predicted model, not a curated record
AAUACAAUAUUCAAUAAUUAAAUACACAAUGAGAGUAAUGAAUUACUGCUACUAAAUUGGAAUGAAAAAAUUUCAAUUAAAAUGUCUCAAGUAUCAUAGAUCGUAAAAGAUUGAUGCUAACCUCCUUAGAAACAUUCAACGACACUAAGUUGAGAACCACUGCUUUAUAUCUUCUUCCGAAUCCAUAGCACAACCGAUCCCCACGAAAGCUUGUGCACUUCGAGUUGCUUCAUCUCGACCUCUGACCCUUCCACUCUGUCCCUAUUGGCUACGACACUUAAACUUUCUCAUCUAACAUGAGACAGGGGAGAUCAAAUCUGGAAUGGGUUAGAUCCGACCCGUGAAACCACUAGAGGCCGAAGAAUUGCAUCGACCAUCAUACACACACGGUGUCCUCGAAAAUUUUCUUGCGUUCAGUGAUUCGAAGAGAGGAAAAAUAACAUUUGUAACAAUUGUAAUAAUGAGUGGAGAGAGAUGAUACGUCCAUUAAUUGGCUGAGCAUCUGAUGAGAAAAAUGGCUGCCUCUUUAUUUAUGUGGCUCGCUCAAAUAUGGCCGAUAGAUGGCGUUUGAAUGUGACUCGUGUAUACAACGUGUUCAUUUGAGAUUCUUAUAAUUUGUACGCGAAUAUUAAUUUUUUUACGGAAAGAUAAAAAUAAGUUGAGAAUAUGUUUCUAAAAGAGGUUAAAAUAUUUGAUAUAUAUGAAUAUGUACAUUUGGAAAAUGUAAAAAGAGAUGUUGGAAAUUUUGGAAUUUUGUUUGCUGUUGGAAUAUUAGAUUUGAAUUAGACGAUUGAUGGAAUGUGCCUUAAAUAUUUGAGAUAAGGAAAGAUUAAGAAAUAUAAAAAUUACUAACAAAAAUUCAUACAUCAAUUAAUCUUUUCUCUAAUAUGAUUCAAGAAAAUUUAUGGAUAAUUAACUUUUAACUUUUAUUGAAUAAAUUAUUCAUAUUUUUCAUCCUCAAAUAAAUGGAAUUGAAAAUAAGAUAAGUAGACAACAUAGAUCAUAUAUUAUUGGGUAAUAAAUAAAGAUAAAAAUUAUAAAGAAAUUUUUAUAAUAUGAAAAAGAAUAUAAAGAACAUAAAAAAAGUUCUAAUCUAUUCAUAUCGGAGAAUGAGAAAUAUAAAUAUAUUUGCAAAGGAUUAGAUUCAAGAUACGAUUUGAGGAACGUUACCUUGGUAUCUGAAAAGCGAUUUCAUCGAGGGAAUCGCUGGGCUGCAACGGAGCACGCUCAAAGAGCCUGCUCGGGCCCCUGUG